UAGUCAACGAAAGUCACUUAAACUCUGUUUUGGCUUCCUCGUCUGGAAGAUGAAAAUGGUAAUAUAACUGACUGAGUAGGGUUGCUGUAAGUAUGAGUUAGUGUGUAAAUGUUUACAAUUACGCAGGGCACACAGCAAGCGCCACGUUUUCUAUCAGGGCUACUCUCACCUAACGCGUAAAACAGGAUGGCAUGCCCAGCGGGAUCCGGGCCCUGGGUUCUCAGGCAUUGUGAUUGGUCUCAGCAUAUGACGCAAGGCGGGCUUCAUUAAUGAAAUUGCUGUCAAUUAGCGAAGGGCGGAAACCAGGCGAAGAGGGCGGUCCUUUAGAACCACACUCGCGCGACUGGCUCCUCUCUUUACAGGCUUAGCUACUGCGCAUGCCUCUGGCCCUCUUGAGGUCCCGGCGUGCCCCGCAACAGCUUCCGGCGUGCUCCGCAACAGCUUCCGGCGUGACGCAGUAGAAAAGGUGGCGUGGCUGGCGAUUCGUGUUCGUGAGGGCCUUUUCUGGAGUGAGCCUGUUUACAAGAGGACAAUAUACUCAAGUCUUGACAACAUGUUUGGAUCUCCAAGGCCAGUUUAUAGAUGGAGUCUCACUCUGUUGCCCAGGCUGGUCUCAAAC
Molecule: long non-coding RNA, 619 nt
Filed under: Homo sapiens (human)
Lineage: Eukaryota; Metazoa; Chordata; Mammalia; Primates; Hominidae
Description: HSALNT0384246
Source: RNAcentral